This 729-nucleotide ribosomal RNA is filed under the name Klebsiella sp. RNAcentral describes it as "bacterial SSU rRNA". It matches the Rfam family "Bacterial small subunit ribosomal RNA", at positions 23 to 743 of the family's 1533-position model. The record is from RNAcentral. Lineage: Bacteria; Pseudomonadati; Pseudomonadota; Gammaproteobacteria; Enterobacterales; Enterobacteriaceae.
CUCAGAUUGAACGCUGGCGGCAGGCCUAACACAUGCAAGUCGAGCGGUAGCACAGAGAGCUUGCUCUCGGGUGACGAGCGGCGGACGGGUGAGUAAUGUCUGGGAAACUGCCUGAUGGAGGGGGAUAACUACUGGAAACGGUAGCUAAUACCGCAUAACGUCGCGAGACCAAAGUGGGGGACCUUCGGGCCUCAUGCCAUCAGAUGUGCCCAGAUGGGAUUAGCUAGUAGGUGGGGUAACGGCUCACCUAGGCGACGAUCCCUAGCUGGUCUGAGAGGAUGACCAGCCACACUGGAACUGAGACACGGUCCAGACUCCUACGGGAGGCAGCAGUGGGGAAUAUUGCACAAUGGGCGCAAGCCUGAUGCAGCCAUGCCGCGUGUGUGAAGAAGGCCUUCGGGUUGUAAAGCACUUUCAGCGGGGAGGAAGGCGGUGAGGUUAAUAACCUCAUCGAUUGACGUUACCCGCAGAAGAAGCACCGGCUAACUCCGUGCCAGCAGCCGCGGUAAUACGGAGGGUGCAAGCGUUAAUCGGAAUUACUGGGCGUAAAGCGCACGCAGGCGGUCUGUCAAGUCGGAUGUGAAAUCCCCGGGCUCAACCUGGGAACUGCAUUCGAAACUGGCAGGCUAGAGUCUUGUAGAGGGGGGUAGAAUUCCAGGUGUAGCGGUGAAAUGCGUAGAGAUCUGGAGGAAUACCGGUGGCGAAGGCGGCCCCCUGGACAAAGACUGA